ACUCUUCUCUCUUUCUCUCCUCUCAAGCGUGAUCUCACAUUUUUAUUUUCAGUAUUCAUGUGAGUGGCUUAUUUUGCAAAAUCUUAGUUAGACGCCAGAGUCGGUGGAGGAUUUCUGCGGUAGAGUAGAGCUGAAAUUUUCAGUGAUGAUCGGGAAGAAGCUGAGUGGUUAUCUAUGCCUCUUUCUGAUCUUAAGAGUGCUUGCAAAUGAAAUAAUGUCUCUUCGAGCAAAGGGGCUUCUACAUUUGGUCCCUGUAGAUUCCUUUGUUAGAUUGUGAAGGAUUUUAGAUCAUCAGAUACAUCGAGCUGAAGGCUUGUCUAUAAGUGAAUGUGAGCAGUCAAAUUGAGAUGUGGUUUCAUCAAUAAAUUGUGCACUAGAGUCCAUUCAUGCAGCUUUAGCAGUAAUGGCUCAUAACCAGAUGCCAAAACAACUAUAUAAAGAAGAGUUGAGGAAGAUGAAGACCCUGAUGCUGAAAUUGGUUCAGCAAGUAAGAAACGACACAGUAUCAAGACCGUUAAAGUGCAUAAAUCGUCAUUUAACAGGGUCUCUGCUGCUGUGAAUAAUAUUCUUCAGAAAAUGUGCACCAUUCUUGGUUUACUCAAGGAUUUGUUGUUAAUAGAAAGGUUGUCAGAUGGUUGCAUCUUACAACUAGUGAAAACAAGCUUUACAACAUUCAUGGUGAAUGAUAUCCAGCUCUUGCAACUGAAGGCAAUGUGUUUAAUCAGUGGGAUAUUCUAUUCAUACACUCAGCAUCGGACUUAUGUUAGAUGAAUUAAUUCAGCUGCUUUGGAAGUUACCGUUCUCAAAGCGAGCUUUGAGAGCCUAUCACCUACCUGAUGAAGAGCAAAGGCAGAUUCAAAUGAUCACUGCUUAGCUCAUUCAGUUGGUUCACUAUAGUGCUAACCUUCCUGAACCAUUAAGGCAGGAAUCAAGUGGUAAUUCCAUCUUAGAACUUUCUCUCGAUGCCGAUUAUCCAACUAAAGGCCAUGAGGCAGCAACAGAGGCGUGUUGCCACUUUUGGACUCGUGUACUUCAACGUUUUGCUAGUGCGAAGACUCAGGAAGCUUCGGAGUUGAAAGUAAUGACGGAGAAUCUUGUUACUGUUCUGCUGACAACGUUGAAUUUACCUGAAUAUCCCGCUUCAGCUCCUAUUAUGGAGGUUCUUUGUGUCUUGUAACUCCAGAAUGCCGGGCUGAAAUCUAAAGACAUAGGUGCUCGUACCAGGGCGAUUGACCUUCUUGGCACAAUUGCUGCGAGAUUGAAGCGUGAUUCUGCCCUUUGCAGUAAGGACAAAUUUUGGAUACUACAGGAGUUGGUUAGUGUGGAUGGGGAUGAUCAGACUGAUCCAAAAAAUGCAUGCUCAGUUUGUUUAGAUGGUAAGGGUUGAAAAAAAUUUCUUUGUAUGUCAAGGUUGUUUUGACAUGCGGCACCUAAUC
Long non-coding RNA from Prunus dulcis (almond), 1436 nucleotides. RefSeq lists it as uncharacterized. The transcript has 6 exons. The record is from RefSeq and is a predicted model, not a curated record. Lineage: Eukaryota; Viridiplantae; Streptophyta; Magnoliopsida; Rosales; Rosaceae.